RNAcentral lists this ribosomal RNA (237 nucleotides) under uncultured bacterium. Its description in RNAcentral is "partial 16S ribosomal RNA". It matches the Rfam family "Bacterial small subunit ribosomal RNA", at positions 571 to 793 of the family's 1533-position model. The record is from RNAcentral.
GCAGGUGGUUUGGUUUAAGUUCAGAUGUGAAAGACCCGGGGCGUCAACCUCGGAAUAAGCAUUUGUAAACUAGGCAGACUAGAGUACUGUAGAGGGGGGUAGGAAGUUUCUAGGUGUAGCGGUGAAAUAGCGUAGAGAUCUGAAGGAAUACCGGUGGCGAAGGCGGCCCCCCUGGACAGAUACUGACACUCAGAUGCGAAAGCGUGGGGAGCAAACAGGAUUAGAUACCCCUGGUAG